This 513-nucleotide ribosomal RNA is filed under the name uncultured bacterium. RNAcentral describes it as "partial 16S ribosomal RNA". It matches the Rfam family "Bacterial small subunit ribosomal RNA", at positions 28 to 523 of the family's 1533-position model. The record is from RNAcentral.
GACGAACGCUGGCGGCAUGCCUAAUACAUGCAAGUCGAGCGAACAGAUGAAGUGCUUGCACUUCUGACGUUAGCGGCGAACGGGUGAGUAACACGUAAGGAAUCUACCUAUAAGCGGGGGAUAACAUUCGGAAACGGGUGCUAAUACCGCACAAUAUCUUCUUCCGCAUGGAAGAAGAUUGAAAGACGGCUCUGCUGUCACUUAUAGAUGACCUUGCGGUGCAUUAGUUAGUUGGUGGGGUAAUGGCCUACCAAGACGAUGAUGCAUAGCCGACCUGAGAGGGUGAUCGGCCACAUUGGGACUGAGACACGGCCCAAACUCCUACGGGAGGCAGCAGCAGGGAAUCUUCCGCAAUGGGCGAAAGCCUGACGGAGCAAUGCCGCGUGAGUGAAGAAGGCCUUCGGGUCGUAAAACUCUGUUAUAAGAGAAGAACAAAUUGUAGAGUAACUGCUACAGUCUUGACGGUAUCUUAUCAGAAAGCCACGGCUAACUACGUGCCAGCCGCCGCGGUAA